GAUGAACGCUGGCGGCGUGCCUAAUACAUGCAAGUCGAGCGAACGGACGAGAAGCUUGCUUCUCUGAUGUUAGCGGCGGACGGGUGAGUAACACGUGGAUAACCUACCUAUAAGACUGGGAUAACUUCGGGAAACCGGAGCUAAUACCGGAUAAUAUUUUGAACCGCAUGGUUCAAAAGUGAAAGACGGUCUUGCUGUCACUUAUAGAUGGAUCCGCGCUGCAUUAGCUAGUUGGUAAGGUAACGGCUUACCAAGGCAACGAUGCAUAGCCGACCUGAGAGGGUGAUCGGCCACACUGGAACUGAGACACGGUCCAGACUCCUACGGGAGGCAGCAGUAGGGAUUCUUCCGCAAUGGGCGAAAGCCGGACGGAGCAACGCCGCGUGAGUGAUGAAGGUCUUCGGAUCGUAAAACUCUGUUAUUAGGGAAGAACAUAUGUGUAAGUAACUGUGCACAUCUUGACGGUACCUAAUCAGAAAGCCACGGCUAACUACGUG
This 497-nucleotide ribosomal RNA is filed under the name uncultured bacterium. RNAcentral describes it as "partial 16S ribosomal RNA". It matches the Rfam family "Bacterial small subunit ribosomal RNA", at positions 28 to 507 of the family's 1533-position model. The record is from RNAcentral.